CCUUCUCUUCUCAUGUCAAGAGUGGAUAAGGAUGGGUUGUUUUGCAUUUGAAUUCAAAUUUGAUUUGAAUUCAAAUGAACAACCACUUAUCUUUAUCCUCUCACGCGGUAAAAAUGCUGCAAAGAUGCGAUCUUGCAUCGUUUUAAAAAGGAGAUAAGAUAGGACAUGCGCAUAAAACAUCUGAGAGAGAAGGGUGGCAUGAGAAAAGUCUUGUGCAUGAGAAAAGAAAAGAAAAAAAGAAAAGAAGGGAAAAGAAGAGAGUAGUGGGCGCAGGCUUUUCUUGAGUACCCUAGGGUUUCUGCCUAG
Molecule: long non-coding RNA, 306 nt
Filed under: Elaeis guineensis (African oil palm)
Lineage: Eukaryota; Viridiplantae; Streptophyta; Magnoliopsida; Arecales; Arecaceae
Description: long non-coding RNA (EGUI_LNC053096)
Source: RNAcentral